This 496-nucleotide ribosomal RNA is filed under the name uncultured bacterium. RNAcentral's name for it is "partial 16S ribosomal RNA". It matches the Rfam family "Bacterial small subunit ribosomal RNA", at positions 29 to 507 of the family's 1533-position model. The record is from RNAcentral.
AUGAACGCUGGCGGCGUGCCUAAUACAUGCAAGUCGAGCGAACAGACGAGGAGCUUGCUCCUCUGACGUUAGCGGCGGACGGGUGAGUAACCCGUGGAUAACCUACCUAUAAGACUGGGAUAACUUCGGGAAACCGGAGCUAAUACCGGAUAAUAUAUUGAACCGCCUGGUUCAAUAGUGAAAGACGGUUUUGCUGUCACUUAUAGAUGGAUCCGCGCCGCAUUAGCUAGUUGGUAAGGUAACGGCUUACCAAGGCGACGAUGCGUAGCCGACCUGAGAGGGUGAUCGGCCACACUGGAACUGAGGCACGGUCCAGACUCCUACGGGAGGCAGCAGUAGGGAAUCUUCCGCAAUGGGCGAAAGCCUGACGGAGCAACGCCGCGUGAGUGAUGAAGGUCUUCGGAUCGUAAAACUCUGUUAUUAGGGAAGAACAAAUGUGUAAGUAACUAUGCACGUCUUGACGGUACCUAAUCAGAAAGCCACGGCUAACUACGUG